UACGGAAGGCAGCAGUGGGGAAUAUUGCACAAUGGGCGCAAGCCUGAUGCAGCCAUGCCGCGUGUAUGAAGAAGGCCUUCGGGUUGUAAAGUACUUUCAGUCGUGAGGAAGGUGUUAAGGUUAAUAACCUUAGCAAUUGACGUUAGCGACAGAAGAAGCACCGGCUAACUCCGUGCCAGCAGCCGCGGUAAUACGGAGGGUGCGAGCGUUAAUCGGAAUUACUGGGCGUAAAGGGCACGCAGGCGGUUAAUUAAGUUGGAUGUGAAAUCCCCGGGCUUAACCUGGGAAUGGCAUUCAAGCUGGUUAGCUAGAGUCUUGUAGAGGGGGUAGAAUUCCAUGUGUAGCGGUGAAAUGCGUAGAGAUGUGGAGGAAUACCGGUGGCGAAGGCGGCCCCUGGGACAAAGGACUGACGCUCAUGUGCGAAAGCGUGGGGAGCAAACG
Molecule: ribosomal RNA, 441 nt
Filed under: uncultured bacterium
Lineage: Bacteria
Description: bacterial SSU rRNA
Rfam family: Bacterial small subunit ribosomal RNA
Source: RNAcentral